AUUGAACGCUGGCGGCAUGCCUUACACAUGCAAGUCGAACGGUAACAGGUCUUCGGAUGCUGACGAGUGGCGCACGGGUGCGUAAUACAUCGGAACGUGCCCGAUCGUGGGGGUUAACGCAGCGAAAGCUGUGCUAAUACCGCAUACGAUCUACGGAGGACAGCGGGGGAUCGCAAGACCUCGCGCGGCCGGACCGGCCGAUGGCAGAUUAGGUAGUUGGUGGGAUAAAAGCUUACCAAGCCGACGAUCUGUAGCUGGUCUGAGAGGACGACCAGCCACACUGGGACUGAGACACGGCCCAGACUCCUACGGGAGGCAGCAGUGGGGAAUUUUGGACAAAGGGCGCAAGCCUGAUCCAGCCAUGCCGCGUGCAGGAUGAAGGCCUUCGGGUUGUAAACUGCUUUUGUACGGAACGAAAAAGCUCUCUCUAAUACAGGGGGUGAAUGACGGUACCGUAAGAAUAAGCACCGGCUAACUACGUG
Molecule: ribosomal RNA, 482 nt
Filed under: uncultured bacterium
Lineage: Bacteria
Description: partial 16S ribosomal RNA
Rfam family: Bacterial small subunit ribosomal RNA
Source: RNAcentral